GUACGUAGGUGGCAAGCGUUAUCCGGAUUUAUUGGGCGUAAAGGGUGCGCAGGCGGUCUGUUUAGUCUGGGGUGAAAGCGUUGAGCUCAACUCAAUUAAGCCUUAGAUACUGGCAGACUAGAGUGCAGAAGAGGGUUAUGGAAUUCCAUGUGUAGCGGUAAAAUGCGUAGAUAUAUGGAGGAACACCGGCGGCGAAGGCGGUAACCUGGUCUGUUACUGACGCUCAGGCACGAAAGCGUGGGGAGCAAAUAGGAUUAGAUACCCUAGUAGUCCACGCCCUAAACGAUGAUUACUAAAUGUUGGGGAAACUCAGUGUUGUAGCUAACGCAAUAAGUAAUCCGCCUGGGGAGUAUGCACGCAAGUGUGAAACUUAAAUGAAUUGGCGGGG
Molecule: ribosomal RNA, 388 nt
Filed under: uncultured bacterium
Lineage: Bacteria
Description: partial 16S ribosomal RNA
Rfam family: Bacterial small subunit ribosomal RNA
Source: RNAcentral